This 454-nucleotide ribosomal RNA is filed under the name uncultured Propionibacterium sp. Its description in RNAcentral is "bacterial SSU rRNA". It matches the Rfam family "Bacterial small subunit ribosomal RNA", at positions 64 to 529 of the family's 1533-position model. Lineage: Bacteria; Bacillati; Actinomycetota; Actinomycetes; Propionibacteriales; Propionibacteriaceae. The record is from RNAcentral.
CAACGGAAAGGCCCUGCUUUUGUGGGGUGCUCGAGUGGCGAACGGGUGAGUAACACGUGAGUAACCUGCCCUUGACUUUGGGAUAACUUCAGGAAACUGGGGCUAAUACCGGAUAGGAGCUCCUGCUGCAUGGUGGGGGUUGGAAAGUUUCGGCGGUUGGGGAUGGACUCGCGGCUUAUCAGCUUGUUGGUGGGGUAGUGGCUUACCAAGGCUUUGACGGGUAGCCGGCCUGAGAGGGUGACCGGCCACAUUGGGACUGAGAUACGGCCCAGACUCCUACGGGAGGCAGCAGUGGGGAAUAUUGCACAAUGGGCGGAAGCCUGAUGCAGCANCGCCGCGUGCGGNAUGACGGCCUUCGGGUUGUAAACCGCUUUCGCCUGUGACGAAGCGUGAGUGACGGUAAUGGGUAAAGAAGCACCGGCUAACUACGUGCCAGCAGCCGCGGUGAUACGUA